GACAUACUCCCUCCGUCCGAAAAUACUUGUCAUCAAAAUGGAUAAAAAGAGAUAUAUCUAAAACUAAAAUACAUCUAAAUACGUUCUCUUUUAUCCAUUUUGAUGACAAAUAUUUCUGGACGGAGGGAGUAAAAC
Triticum aestivum (bread wheat) is the source of this 135-nucleotide non-coding RNA. Lineage: Eukaryota; Viridiplantae; Streptophyta; Magnoliopsida; Poales; Poaceae. The record is from Rfam.